UACGUAGGGUGCAAGCGUUGUCCGGAAUUAUUGGGCGUAAAGAGCUCGUAGGCGGUUUGUCGCGUCGAAUGUGAAAACCCGGGGCUCAACCCCGGGCCUGCAUUCGAUACGGGCAGACUAGAGUUCGGUAGGGGAGUCUGGAAUUCCUGGUGUAGCGGUGAAAUGCGCAGAUAUCAGGAGGAACACCGGUGGCGAAGGCGGGACUCUGGGCCGAUACUGACGCUGAGGCACGAAAGUGUGGGGAUCAAACAGG
RNAcentral lists this ribosomal RNA (253 nucleotides) under uncultured bacterium. RNAcentral's name for it is "partial 16S ribosomal RNA". It matches the Rfam family "Bacterial small subunit ribosomal RNA", at positions 524 to 776 of the family's 1533-position model. The record is from RNAcentral.